UACGGGGGGGGCAAGCGUUGUUCGGAAUUACUGGGCGUAAAGGGCUCGUAGGCGGCCAAUUAAGUCAGACGUGAAAUCCCUCGGCUUAACCGGGGAACUGCGUCUGAUACUGGAUGGCUUGAAUCCGGGAGAGGGAUGCGGAAUUCCAGGUGUAGCGGUGAAAUGCGUAGAUAUCUGGAGGAACACCGGUGGCGAAGGCGGCAUCCUGGACCGGCAUUGACGCUGAGGAGCGAAAGCCAGGGGAGCAAACGGG
This 253-nucleotide ribosomal RNA is filed under the name uncultured bacterium. Its description in RNAcentral is "partial 16S ribosomal RNA". It matches the Rfam family "Bacterial small subunit ribosomal RNA", at positions 524 to 776 of the family's 1533-position model. The record is from RNAcentral.